Molecule: long non-coding RNA, 6760 nt
Organism: Alexandromys fortis (reed vole)
Lineage: Eukaryota; Metazoa; Chordata; Mammalia; Rodentia; Cricetidae
Exons: 6
Source: RefSeq, a predicted model, not a curated record
UGAUACUAAUGAUCAUGUAGAGUACUAGUUAAUUCUAGAAAUAUAGGCUUCAUCUAGCUUCCUCUAUAUUAUUUUGGGCUCGAGUCUGAAGCAGUUAAGUAAAAAUUAAUUUUGUGUACCUCAGAUAUACUUAUUAGAUUGUGGCCCAUUAACUUCUCUGAGAUCUCCUGCAUAUGGCAUUUAAAAUGUUUAAGUGUUCUUAAAUGACCCAUGACCAUUCUUAACAGUGAUCUUUGAAAUCUCCAAAAGGAUGAUGGGACCCCACAGUGACAAUUCCUCCUGGGUUGUGGUAACACUAUUAAGCUGACAAACACCACCCAAAGAUCAGCUUUGAACUACAAACUGCUCAGGAUAAUUUUAAGUGGAUUAGCUGGGAGGGUCCAGAUUCAUCGACUACUCCAAGCAGGACUUCAGAUAAGUCCUGCAUUUUCCCAUUAAGCACAGACUGAACAACCAGUGUUAUAACUAGUUUCCCCAGUUCUUGACCAUUAUCUCAGUUUUCUCAGGGUCCCUUAAAGAUGCCAUCAUUCCAAGACAACCCACAUCUAAGAAAAUGUUUUGAGGUCUAAAAUGAUAGUUUUGGGUUGGUAAUACAAGUUAGGACAGAAAGUGAAUUAGGUAUCAAACUUUGGACUCACCAAGACAGGAUAGAUAAUAAUGUAGUUUCUCCGAAUUGCUAAUGUACUGGACAUUGUGAAUGUAAUCCUUACUUGAUAAUUUCUUCUUCUUAUAUACAGUUUUACUGUGUUAGAGUUAAAACCUUUUCUUUUUAUUUAAACAAAUAUAAGGAAACAUUGGGGAAUAUCCAAUCAAUUGGUGAACUCCAAGUUUGCACUUUGCAUUAAUUAAAUAAAAUUAACCUUGGGCCAGGAAGUUGAGUAAGCAACUAGUUGACAGAGAGUAAUCAUAGAGCAUCAGAGGGCAUUCGGGAGAGACAGAGCAGCAUGGCUUUUUGUUCAUUUGUUUGUUUGGCAAAGUAGAAGGACAUGCUCUUUUGGAGACACGAGCAUGGAGAGAAGGUUAGCUUGGUGCUACUCAACCUCCCUGAGCCAGCAGGUUUUCACUCCAGCCUUUGACUCUCGAGUCUUAUUUAUAAAUAAAACAAUAGAGAUUUAGUUAAAUUUAACAGCAGCAGAGUCAAUGCCUGUGGGAACAGAAUUCCUGCCAGGCUAUGGCCUGAGGGGCUGGGCUGCUUCCUGAGAAGCAGGCCUGUAACUGCAGAGUUGCAACUGUUGGCUGAAAUAGUCAUAGAUUAAGGUGCAGUCACUGUGCCAAAGUUAAAACAACACCCGUCAGCAGUUCUACAGGCUGAAGAGUGUUGUUUGCAGGUAGUUCAUCUGUUCUAAACCUCUUCCUGGCAACUGACUGUUCUCUGCUUCCAAGCUGCAAAGUUGGUCCUCUAGGAAGCUCAGUUUAAGAGUCUUCUUUGCAGCUUGGUUUAUUUAAAAGUAUCUCUCAGCAGUCUCUACAGGUUACAUAUGCUCCAGGAGGGUGGGGCCUAGUGACUCUGGUCAGUUUCAGGGACUUCCUGAGGCUAUUUUGAAUUGUUUUAUCUCCCCUUAGAACAUCCUGUUACUUUACCACAUUAUAAACACCUUCCAUAUUAAUGAGAUUGCUUCUAAAUUCAGUGAUUUUAAUCACAGAGGAAACUCCGACACAACACUUGUCCCAUCCUCCCUCAUUUCUUCCCAGGAUGCUAAGUUGACUAACCCUCUGUCAUCUUCCAUUGCCUUGAUGUACCACUUCACGUCAGGCCCAGAUCUCAGGGGGUAGGUAGGGGACAUGGAACUGAAGACUCUGAAGCCCUGAGCCAAAAUAAGUCCAUCUUCCCUUGAGUUAUUUCUCAUGGGUAUUUGCCACAACAAUGGAAUGUCUAGCCUAGGCAGGACUAGCCUAGUAUUACUUCCUGAGUGAUGGAAUCUCCUGCUUCUAAUCCCGCUUACCAACAGGCCCUCCUGAUACUGCUGUUACAUCCUUCUUAGCAUAGCACAUAAAGCUUAAGUUCCCCAUCAGGCUCAGCCUUCCACUUUCUAGUCCUGUGAUUAUGAAAUGGCAGUUCAGAUAAUGUAAAUCCAAAUCCAAGGUUCAGCAGUUUAAAGAAAGCUGAGCUUGUGGGGGAGGACAUUUAAACUCUCCACACUUUUGAUGGAGGAGUUACUUUCAUUUAAUAAAGAAACUGCCUUGGCCCAUUUGAUAGGUCAACUCUUAGGUGGGUGGAGUAAAUAGAACAGAAUACUGGGAGAAAGAAGCCAAGUCAGGGAGUCUCCAUGAUUCUCCCACUCUAGACAGACACAGGUUAAGAUAUUUCCUGGUAAGCCAGCUUGUGGUGCUACACAGAAUAUUAGAAAUGGGUUAGAUCGAUAUAUAAGAGUUAGCCAAUAACAAGCUGGAACUAAUGGGCCAAGCAGUGUUUAAAUGAAUACAGUUUCCAUGUAAUUAUUUCAGGUAAAGCUAGCUGGGUGGUGGGACACAGUCCGCCGCUCCUAUCAACACACUUUAGUUUCUUCCCUCUAUAAAAUGGGAGUGGUGACACUCCUCAUCUAUCAAGUCAUAGGAUUAAACACAGACUAUCUGAUCUCCAGUGAAAGCUGAGCAAACUCUAGCCAGCAUUAUCAUUGUUUCUGACAUCUUGCCUGAGUCCCCUAUGUGUACCCUGAGCUCCAGCUGGCAGGAAACAACCAACUCGAGGUUAUGUGUCUCUGGUUUGUUUAAGUUAGAAAGCUCUGUCUACCCCUGCCUGCACAAACAGCUAACAAGCUAUCUCUCAACACCACUCAUUCCAAGAGAACGUGCUGAAUUCUGCCAACUUUCCCUCCUUUUAGUCCCCAAUAAUUCCAUGCAACUUUCCUAGACUUCUGACAUUCAGUUUUGCAUAAUUCAUUUUACUUUGGAGAGAUAUCUUAUUUCUCCUUGAUUUUCUGUUAAUGCUAUUGACUGGAUUUCUUCUGAGAUUUGAUGGAACUAUUUGGAUGCAGAGACCCUCACUGAGGUGAAGGCAUCCUCCUACUAAGAUUAUCCCUUGGGUUCACUUUUAUACAUGCUUUUCUGAACUUGAUAUAAUUUGGCAAGUUGAUAUCAAUAAGCCUAAAACUAGACUAAACAUGGAGGUAGGAGAAAAAGUCAGGAAGAAAGAAGAAAUCAAGAAUUCAUUGCAUCUAUGUGACUUAGCUUAGUUUCUUUUCAUUUUCUAUAUGUAAAUAUAUUAUCACAUUCCUUCUAUUCUUUUCUUAUACAACACAUAGAAGGUUUUUGUUUGCUUUUUCUAUGAUUAUACAAAGCAGAAGAAACUCAGAGAGGGUCCUUGCCCAAGUUACAGUGGCCCUGGAAUCUCUGAGGGUAUCAAUAGAUUCUGAAUUAUUUCUGAUAUUCACUCAGUAAAUAUCUAAACUCUAGCUCUGCUGAGAACUGUGUUGGCAUUUGAGGGAUGCGGGUAGGCAAGAUGAAUCUUUUCUUUUGCCCUCAUGAAACCUGCAAUCUGAUGAGGACACAAUCAAACAGGUAAGUUAUAUAGCUGGCAAACCCUGCAGUCACAGGUACAAAGGUCAGAGACCAAUUGUUGACCCUACAUAAGGCAGAGUUGCUGUGUAGUACCAGAAGUCACCAUCCUGCUCAGAGGCAGGGAGUUCAUUUACAUACAUAAGAAAUAAAAAUAGGCCUUGGUCAGGACAAAAUAAUACUGGUUUUAAAUGAUGUCUGGUGUAUAAGUUGUUUCUGGUUCUAGAUGGAAAAUGUUGCUUUAUAUUUGUUUCUGACUUUGAAUGCCUUGGAACACUGCACAACUACAGUCCUCUCUCCAGACCCCUUACAGCUCUCUGCAUAUCCCAUGAUCCAUAGUCAGCAAUUCUGUCACCAUUUGAAUGCCUGUGUCUUCACUCUUUGCCUCUCCUGGAGUCUCCAGCCCUAGCCCAUGCAAUCUGGAACACAACAGGGACUCAGUAAGUGAUGACUAGAAGAAGAAGAAUGUCUCACACAAGGCUUCCAUAGAGACUAGGAAGUGUAUUUCAGCUCCUCCUGUGUCUGAAGUCCAAAUCCUGCUAGGUAUGCUCCACCCUAGAUGUUGAGUUGAACUUUAGCCUGCUAAACUGAAGGGAGAGACUAGCGUGGGAAGAGGAGCUCAUGUUGUCUUACACCAUGGACCGUCCAACCCUCUUGUUCUUACACACUCCAUGACAGGUCAGGAGCCAAGGUGGAACUGGCUGCCGCUGGACACAGUCGCUGAUAGGUGGACCAGUAGGCCAUCUCUAAGGUGUGAUGGAUCUAUGCUUUGACCCCAUCAAAACUGUGGGUCUCAGGACCCUUGUGGAGGUUCUGAGGGAGAUCUAGAACACUGUGAGAAAGAGCCUGAGGAAGCCAGGUAGAGAUUGAAGGUUGGAGAAUGGAAUAACUUCUGAAGGCUGAUUUGUCUUUCUCAAGUGGGAGAACUGUGGAGAGACAGUUCUCAUAUCUCUAAGGAUGCCGAAACUGAGAUAAAUGUGGAGACAGACCAGGGAGUAGGAAGUGGCCACCUUCUGAAGGAGGAGAGGGAGAGAGGAAAGAAAGACUGCAGAGACAAGUACUGAGGACAUUUCUGUACGUUCAAGUGUGCAAAAGUGGGCAGACCAUUACCUUUUCUACCUUGACUCACUUCCUCUGACCCUGGGUGAGCCUUAGAAGGAGGUAGAGCUCCAGGGAACAGCAAACAACACUUAGGCCAGAGUGACACAGUGUGGCUCAUACCAUCAGUGUUGGCGAUCUCAUGGAACUCUUCAGAUGUUAUUUCCAAGAAGUAAUCAGAAGUGACCUCAAUUAUUUUUAUUCUGAUUUUCUUGUUUUUCAGAGAAAGCAUCCGAAUACUGUUGUUAUCUAGUCCCAGGUUGACAUAGUCUGUACCAAAACACAUGUUAAACUUAGUCACCAAUCUAAAGUAUUGGGAGAUGGAACUUACUGAGAGGUGAUUAGGCCCCCAGGAAUUGACUUCAUUUGGCCCAUUCGCUGGGCUUAAAAGCUUCUCAGAUCUUGCCGAAGGCCAUGCACUAUGGAGAGACAGAGCCUGCGCUAAAUCUUCCCUUUGCACUAGGUCAUAGCUCUGGAGGCUGGCAAGUCAAAGAUGUGUCACUGUUAUCUACCCAGCUUCUGGUGAAGGCCGUGAGCUGCUUUCAGCUCCUGGUGGGAAACAGGAGAACAUGUCAGCAUGUGGAGAAGAAACAAGACUUACGACAACCCUUUCUCAAGUUUGCCAUUCUGUCCCUACAAAAGUGACAGCUCACUGGAGUGAGAAAGCUCAAGAAGGCAGGAGAAGGCCCAGCAAGAGCCAGGAUCUGCAAAUAAAGCCGCCACCAGGCGGGACCUUGGGAUAUCACCAGUUCUCUGUGGACACGUGGGGAACUUGACAUGGAAAUCUGAGACCACCUUCAAAUCCUGGGCCUCAGCCGGAUAAAGCAAUGGAGCUUUCGGCUGGAUGCUGUGGCUGAGGCACAGGAAGUGUGGCCCAAGCUCAAGCCAGGAAGUGCCUUGAUUCAGCUCAUUGCACAUGGCGGGCCUUCCUCACAGCUCUCCAGAGCAACUGCUGGACCAGCCUCCAGGAAUGUGAGACUUUUCCCCAUCCUGCACUUGGCUCCACGUCCUUUUCCCCACUGCCAACCAGAGAGCUGCGUAUGUUACUCUUGCUCGUAGAGAAGACAGCCAGGGGAAAAACAGGAGAACGAGGCUUCGACGUGCUUCUGAGGACCCAGCAAGGCGUGUGCUCAUGAAUGGUUCAACCAACAGGAGAAAGACGUCUUUUACUGUUUCUCUUCGGUCCCACUGGGGUGUCUAAGGGAAGCAGAGUAACUGGCAGGCAGGAUGUUUUCUUUUCUCUUGCCUGCAUGUCUUACCCUGAUCUUGAACUGAGAGAAAUAAUUCGUUAACGUGACAGAAUCUAAAAUCACCGGGCAUGCCUGUGGGGGAUUAUUAUCUUGGUUGUUUGUACUGAAGUAGAAAGACUCACCGGGGGUGACACCAUUCCCUGGCUAGGACCUGGGACUGCAAAUGGGGACAGGAACUGAGCAGCAGACAAGCAUUCUUGCACUUUGCUUCUCACGGGGAUGCCACGUUACCCAGCAGGUUCAAGCUUCUACUGCUUUGACAGCCGUGUCACAUUGGACUGUGCCCUUCAGCUGUGAAGGAAUCCUUUUCCCUCAGUCACUUUUGUCAUCGAGUUUAUCAUGCAUUCAUGGAGACGUUAAGAGGACAGGUAAAGCACCAGCCAUCUCAACCGACUUCAGGAAGUCACCAGGUACAAAACAUGCAGGCAGGACUGAGCCCUCUGCUGCUGUGCCUGGGUUUGUCCACCCUCGGUGGUGAGCUGGUGUAAUUGAGUGGUGGGCUCUGGGGACUGACAGGGAACUUGGAAAGGCGAGACUCUUCUGACCUUGUUAGAGGGUGAAAAUUAGGUCAAGAGACUCCUACAGGGAGUGGUGGCAGCCUUGGCUGGCCUCCAAGUCUCCUGAGGGUUUCUGCUCUACCACAACAUCAGCAAGAAAUCCCUUCUGCUACCUGGGCUGUGUAAACAGAUCCCCAAAUGUCUCAGGAACACCAUAAUUUAUCUUCCUCUUAUACCACUGUGCAAGGAAGCUGAGACUCAGAAAUAAAAUGUUUAGAAGGAUGAAGUGACCUGUUCCAUAUGCUUAGUUCUAAAGCAGGUUUGGGCACCCGGCCCUCCCUUCCCCAUACCCUCUUGGCAGACAGCUUUCCUCAGAGGCCAGGGCAUUGGAUUCAUACAAUGCUAACAAUGCCUGUCGCU